CACGAACCGUACGAACGUUAUUCGGAAUUACUGGGCUUAAAGGGUUUGUAGGCGGCCUUGUAAGUCAGGUGUGAAAGCCCUCGGCUCAACCGAGGAACAGCGCUUGAUACUGCAGGGCUUGAGGGAGACAGGGGUAAGCGGAACUGAUGGUGGAGCGGUGAAAUGCGUUGAUAUCAUCAGGAACACCGGUGGCGAAAGCGGCUUACUGGGUCUCUUCUGACGCUGAGGAACGAAAGCUAGGGUAGCGAACGGG
Molecule: ribosomal RNA, 253 nt
Filed under: uncultured bacterium
Lineage: Bacteria
Description: partial 16S ribosomal RNA
Rfam family: Bacterial small subunit ribosomal RNA
Source: RNAcentral